RNAcentral lists this ribosomal RNA (398 nucleotides) under uncultured bacterium. RNAcentral describes it as "bacterial SSU rRNA". It matches the Rfam family "Bacterial small subunit ribosomal RNA", at positions 30 to 426 of the family's 1533-position model. The record is from RNAcentral.
AUUGAACGCUGGCGGCAGGCCUAACACAUGCAAGUCGAGCGGUAGAGAGGUGCUUGCAUCUCUUGAGAGCGGCGGACGGGUGAGUAAUGCCUAGGAGUCUGCCUAGUGGUGGGGGAUAACGUUCGGAAACGGACGCUAAUACCGCAUACGUCCUACGGGAGAAAGCGGGGGGAUCUUCGGACCUCGCGCCAUUAGAUGAGCCUAGGUCGGAUUAGCUAGUUGGUGAGGUAAUGGCUCACCAAGGCGACGAUCCGUAACUGGUCUGAGAGGAUGAUCAGUCACACUGGAACUGAGACACGGUCCAGACUCCUACGGGAGGCAGCAGUGGGGAAUAUUGGACAAUAGGGCGGAAAGACCUGAUCCAGCCAUGCCGCGUGUAGGAUGAAGGCCUCGGUUGG